Molecule: ribosomal RNA, 253 nt
Filed under: uncultured bacterium
Lineage: Bacteria
Description: partial 16S ribosomal RNA
Rfam family: Archaeal small subunit ribosomal RNA
Source: RNAcentral
UACCCGCAGCACAAGUGGUGGUCAUUAUUAUUGGGCCUAAAGCGUCCGUAGCUGGCCUGUUAGAUGCCUGGGUAAAUCGAUGCGCUUAACGCAUCGAACUCCGGGUAGACCGGCAGGCUCGAGACCGGGAGAGGUGUAGGGUACUCGGGGGGUAGGGGUAAAAUCCUGUAAUCCUCCGGGGACGACCAGUGGCGAAGGCGCUACACUAGAACGGCUCUGACAGUGAGGGACGAAGCCCUGGGGCGCAAACCGG